CCUACGGGCGGCAGCAGUGAGGAAUAUUGGUCAAUGGUCGGGAGACUGAACCAGCCAAGCCGCGUGAGGGAGGAAGGUACAGAGUAUCGUAAACCUCUUUUGUCAGGGAACAAAGACUGUGACGCGUCCCCGGAGGAGUGUACCUGAAGAAAAAGCAUCGGUUAACUCCGUGCCAGCACCCGCGGUAAUACGGGGGAUGCGAGUGUUAUCCGGAUUGAUUGGGUUAAAGGGGUGCGCAGGGGGGCUGUUAAGUCAGCUGUAAAAGCCCGGGGCUCACCCCCGGCCCGCCGGUGAAACUGGCAGUCUCGAGUUGGAGAGAAGUAGGCGGAAUGCGAGGUAUAGCGGUGAAAUGCAUAGAUAUCGCGCAGAACUCCGGUGGCGAAGGCAGCAUGCCGGCUCCACACUGACGCUGAGGCACGAAAGCGUGGGUAUCGAACAGGAUUAGAUACCCUAGUAGUC
Molecule: ribosomal RNA, 459 nt
Filed under: uncultured bacterium
Lineage: Bacteria
Description: partial 16S ribosomal RNA
Rfam family: Bacterial small subunit ribosomal RNA
Source: RNAcentral